RNAcentral lists this ribosomal RNA (673 nucleotides) under Cortinarius sp. LM4619. Its description in RNAcentral is "eukaryotic LSU rRNA". The stretch from base 259 to 412 matches the Rfam family "5.8S ribosomal RNA". The record is from RNAcentral. Lineage: Eukaryota; Fungi; Basidiomycota; Agaricomycetes; Agaricales; Cortinariaceae.
CAUUAUUGAAUAAACCUGAUGAGUUGCUGCUGGUUCUCUAGGGGACAUUGUGCACACUUGUCAUCUUUAUGUCUCCACAUGUGCACCUUUUGUAGACCUGGAUGUAUUUUCUCAAUGCGCUAGCGUGUUCAGGUUUGAGGAUUGGCUUUCAACUGCCUCUCCUUGCAUAUCCAGGCCUAUGUCUUUGUUCAUAUACUCCAAAUGUAUGUUACAGAAUGUAUUUAUUGGACUUUUUGCGAAGCCCAUGUAAUCUAUUACAACUUUCAGCAACGGAUCUCUUGGCUCUCGCAUCGAUGAAGAACGCAGCGAAAUGCGAUAAGUAAUGUGAAUUGCAGAAUUCAGUGAAUCAUCGAAUCUUUGAACGCAUCUUGCGCUCCUUGGUAUUCCGAGGAGCAUGCCUGUUUGAGUGUCAUUAAUAAUAUCAACCCUCUUCUCUUGUUGAGUGUUGGAUGUGGGGGUUGUUGCUGGCUCCUCUUUUGUGAGGGUCAGCUCCCCUAAAAUCCAUUAGCGGAACAAUUUGUUGACCGUUCGUUGGUGUGAUAAGUUAUCUACGCUAUUGAACGUGAGGCAGUUCANCUUCUAACUGUCCAUUGACUUGGACAAAUCUUUUUUUUUCAUUGAUUGUGACCUCAAAUCAGGUAAGGACUACCCGCUGAACUUAAGCAUAUCAAUA